AUAGACGACAACCAGGUGUUGUUGUUUGAGAG
Molecule: non-coding RNA, 32 nt
Filed under: Syntrophotalea carbinolica DSM 2380
Lineage: Bacteria; Pseudomonadati; Thermodesulfobacteriota; Desulfuromonadia; Desulfuromonadales; Syntrophotaleaceae
Source: RNAcentral